AGCUAUAGACAUAUAUCCCAUCAAGUUCAUGCCCGGAUAAAUUAUUUUCUUACGUACUUUUUUGGUCCAUCCACUUCCCUUAUAAUCAUAAAAGAGCUAUGUAAUGAGCACACUAAUAUAUAUGGGAAGACACUCGUAUCCCACCAACCACAUGCACGAAGAAAUUUGCAUGAGAACUCAAUGGUCAGUAUUAGCUUAGAGACUUCCGUUGUGGGGUCGGAGGUGGCGGGCGCGGUCUCCAGCAAUAGCUAGAGUUUAUUGAGGUGGCGGCGGCAGUUGCCAUGGUGGUUGAGGUGGUGGGAGUGGGCCUUCUCGGCGGGGUCGAGCAGGUGCUGAGAUAACAAGAACAACCAUGGAUAAUAACAAAGGAGCAGGGAGAAGAUCAUACCCGGGAUUUUUCGGAUAGAUACAUCCAGGUUUCUGAGCUGAAUCAAUGAGUCUCAUCAACAUAAGUUACAUAGCCCAUCCAGAUUGCAUGCAUUGCACGGCGGAUGUGAAGAAGUAGACCAUUAUCUCGGCAUUAAUGAGCCAAGCUGGUAUUUGCAGUGAAUCCCCUGGGUAUUCUUUGAGAGACUGGACGAGGAAUCCUCCAGAGAUCUUCUUAAGACUUACUAGGAAUAGAGGUGGAGGUCGUUCUGCUUCCGGCAAAGUCGCAGCUCCCGAUGGCCUGACAUUUCUGCUGGAAGUAACUAACUGUUCACGGCGUAGUCGCAGUGGUUCUUGAUGGUGUUUGGCUGGCAGCAGGCUCCGUUCGGGCAGAUGGGGCUGCAUUCUGCCCCGGCCCGACAAGCAUAGCCCGGGGUUCGCAUCAGAACUUGAUCACUCAGCCCUUGUUUAAACAUGACACAGUACGUCGCACCUAAUCAAACCCAAAGCUAAGCCCAGUGAUUAUUAGCAAGGGAAAAAAAUGGUCGUGUUUUUGCAAUUUCAGGCCAGAUAACAAAGACGAAUUUACCCAAAGACAGCCCGGUGAGGGCCAAUAGGAGCAGAGACAGCAGCAGAAGUGCCAUAAGAGCUGAAAGUUUUUUCUGCAGGAAGAGAGUGUCAAGAGUUGGAAAAAUCAAUGCUAUACCAUCGAGGAAUGAUCUAAGGGGGAAGAAGAAAAUCAAUGCUAUACCAUCGAGGAAUGAUCUAUUCGGGGCCACCUUGGGGUCGUAAGUGGCUCGCUCAUGACGAACUGAUCUUAUGCUCGUAGAGGUUCCCGAUUCCUAAACGCUUAACAGCUUGACUGAAUAACUUUUUAGAACCGGAUAUAUCCGGUUUAAAUUUCGCUUGUUCGAUAAAGAUUUUUAUUUUUACUGGAUUGCUCUAAUCUAUGACUAUAUAAGUUUGUUUUAAUAUUAUGUUGAUCGUUAAAAGGAACAAUAUAUAUUUGAGAAUGAUGAUAUAUACAUAAUUAUAUCAUUAUCGAACACCUCAUAUAUACUUGUAAAUUGUAAUUAGUAAUAUUCAAGUAAUCUUAUUAUUACCUAUGCAUGGCUCGAGUUUGAGGUAUUAUUACGAGUAAUCUUAACAUUAACAACCGCCCGAGUUUAAUAAUGGAUUUAUUCCAAAAAGUGGGUCAAUUUUCCCAUCAUGAAAUAAGGGUUGGGCUAGUGAUUUGAAGUUAUCAUUAGCAAUUGAAGUAGAGCGUUCUAAUUAUCUAAAAAAUUAGGCCAAAUUGACAUCUGAAAAGAAUUCAUUUUAAUUAAUAAAAUGAUGAUACUCGUGUCUGACCAAAAAAAAAAAA
This is a non-coding RNA of Punica granatum (pomegranate), 1729 nucleotides long. Lineage: Eukaryota; Viridiplantae; Streptophyta; Magnoliopsida; Myrtales; Lythraceae. The record is from RefSeq and is a predicted model, not a curated record.